GACGAACGCUGGCGGCGUGCUUAACACAUGCAAGUCGAACGGAAAGGCCCUGCUUUUGUGGGGUGCUCGAGUGGCGAACGGGUGAGUAACACGUGAGUAACCUGCCCUUGACUUUGGGAUAACUUCAGGAAACUGGGGCUAAUACCGGAUAGGAGCUCCUGCUGCAUGGUGGGGGUUGGAAAGUUUCGGCGGUUGGGGAUGGACUCGCGGCUUAUCAGCUUGUUGGUGGGGUAGUGGCUUACCAAGGCUUUGACGGGUCGCCGGCCUGGGAGGGUGACCGGGCACAUUGGGCCUGAGAUACGGCCCAGACUCCUACGGGAGGCAGCAGUGGGGAAUAUUGCACAAUGGGCGGAAGCCUGAUGCAGCAACGUCGCGUGCGGGAUGACGGCCUUCGGGUUGUAAACCGCUUUCGCCUGUGACGAAGCGUGAGUGACGGUAAUGGGUAAAGAAGCACCGGCUAACUACGUG
Molecule: ribosomal RNA, 468 nt
Filed under: uncultured bacterium
Lineage: Bacteria
Description: partial 16S ribosomal RNA
Rfam family: Bacterial small subunit ribosomal RNA
Source: RNAcentral